This 280-nucleotide ribosomal RNA is filed under the name Faecalibacterium prausnitzii. RNAcentral's name for it is "partial 16S ribosomal RNA". It matches the Rfam family "Bacterial small subunit ribosomal RNA", at positions 524 to 801 of the family's 1533-position model. The record is from RNAcentral. Lineage: Bacteria; Bacillati; Bacillota; Clostridia; Eubacteriales; Oscillospiraceae.
AACGUAGGUCACAAGCGUUGUCCGGAAUUACUGGGUGUAAAGGGAGCGCAGGCGGGAAGACAAGUUGGAAGUGAAAUCUAUGGGCUCAACCCAUAAACUGCUUUCAAAACUGUUUUUCUUGAGUAGUGCAGAGGUAGGCGGAAUUCCCGGUGUAGCGGUGGAAUGCGUAGAUAUCGGGAGGAACACCAGUGGCGAAGGCGGCCUACUGGGCACCAACUGACGCUGAGGCUCGAAAGUGUGGGUAGCAAACAGGAUUAGAUACCCCGGUGGCUGACUGACU